GAUGAACGCUGGCGGCGUGCCUAAUACAUGCAAGUCGAGCGAACGGACGAGAAGCUUGCUUUUCUGAUGUUAGCGGCGGACGGGUGAGUAACACGUGGAUAACCUACCUAUAAGACUGGGAUAACUUCGGGAAACCGGAGCUAAUACCGGAUAAUAUUUUGAACCGCAUGGUUCAAAAGUGAAAGACGGUCUUGCUGUCACUUAUAGAUGGAUCCGCGCUGCAUUAGCUAGUUGGUAAGGUAACGGCUUACCAAGGCAACGAUGCAUAGCCGACCUGAGAGGGUGAUAGGCCACACUGGAACUGAGACACGGUCAAGACGCCUAAGGGAGGCAGCAGUAGGGAAUCUUACGCAAUAGGCGAAAGUCUGACGGAGCAAGGCCGCGUGAGUGAUGAAGGUCUUCGGAUCGUAAAACUCUGUUAUUAGGGAAGAACAUAUGUGUAAGGAACUGUGCACAGCUUGACGGUACCUAAUCAGAAAGCCACGGCUAACUACGUG
Molecule: ribosomal RNA, 497 nt
Filed under: uncultured bacterium
Lineage: Bacteria
Description: partial 16S ribosomal RNA
Rfam family: Bacterial small subunit ribosomal RNA
Source: RNAcentral